RNAcentral lists this ribosomal RNA (695 nucleotides) under uncultured bacterium. RNAcentral describes it as "bacterial SSU rRNA". It matches the Rfam family "Bacterial small subunit ribosomal RNA", at positions 32 to 715 of the family's 1533-position model. RNAcentral also lists the same sequence under 1 other name. The record is from RNAcentral.
AACGCUAGCUACAGGCUUAACACAUGCAAGUCGAGGGGUAACAUGAUCAAAGCUUGCUUUGAUUGAUGACGACCGGCGGAUGGGUGAGUAACACGUAUCCAACCUACCGUAUACACGGGGAUAGCCUUUCGAAAGAAAGAUUAAUACCCGAUGGUGUAAUGAGAUCUCCUGAUUUUAUUACUAAAGAUUUAUCGGUAUACGAUGGGGAUGCGUUCCAUUAGAUUGUUGGUAGGGUAACGGCCUACCAAGUCUACGAUGGAUAGGGGUUCUGAGAGGAAGAUCCCCCACAUUGGAACUGAGACACGGUCCAAACUCCUACGGGAGGCAGCAGUGAGGAAUCUUGGUCAAUGGGCGCAAGGCCUGAACCAGCCACGUAGCGUGCAGGAUGACGGCCCUAUGGGUUGUAAACUGCUUUUAUGCGGGGAUAAAGUGAGGGACGUGUCCCUUUUUGCAGGUACCGCAUGAAUAAGGACCGGCUAAUUCCGUGCCAGCAGCCGCGGUAAUACGGAAGGUCCGGGCGUUAUCCGGAUUUAUUGGGUUUAAAGGGAGCGUAGGCCGGAGAUUAAGCGUGUUGUGAAAUGUAGACGCUCAACGUCUGCACUGCAGCGCGAACUGGUUUCCUUGAGUACGCACAAAGUGGGCGGAAUUCGUGGUGUAGCGGUGAAAUGCUUAGAUAUCACGAAGAACUCCGAUUG